This 297-nucleotide ribosomal RNA is filed under the name Ciona robusta. RNAcentral describes it as "partial large ribosomal RNA". Lineage: Eukaryota; Metazoa; Chordata; Ascidiacea; Phlebobranchia; Cionidae. The record is from RNAcentral.
UCCAAAAGUUUCUAUUAGUCUAAAAAAAUUUUUUAUUGUAAGAGAAUAGCAUAUUACUAUUUAAGUAUAAAAGAUAGAAAUUUUUUACAUAAAUUUUCUGUAAAGAAAUUAGAUAAAAUUAAGUAAAGUUAAGUUAAAUGUUCUUUUUGGAUCAAGAUUUAAUAAAAAAUUCUUAUUAGAAAAUAAAUUUCGAAAAAACAUGAUUUUGUAUUAUAAAAAAAAUAUUAUAUUUCAAUAUAAUAUAGAAAUAAAUAAUACAAGAAGUGAUAUACCAAUCAUAUGUUUAGAUAACUAAUU